This 464-nucleotide ribosomal RNA is filed under the name uncultured bacterium. RNAcentral's name for it is "partial 16S ribosomal RNA". It matches the Rfam family "Bacterial small subunit ribosomal RNA", at positions 339 to 795 of the family's 1533-position model. The record is from RNAcentral.
CUACGGGAUGCAGCAGUGGGGAAUAUUGCACAAUGGGCGCAAGCCUGAUGCAGCCAUGCCGCGUGUAUGAAGAAGGCCUUCGGGUUGUAAAGUACUUUCAGCGGGGAGGAAGGGAGUAAAGUUAAUACCUUUGCUCAUUGACGUUACCCGCAGAAGAAGCACCGGCUAACUCCGUGCCAGCAGCCGCGGUAAUACGGAGGGUGCAAGCGUUAAUCGUAAUUACUGGGCGUAAAGCGCACGCAGGCGGGUUGUUAAGUCAGAUGUGAAAUCCCCGGGCUCAACCUGGGAACUGCAUCUGAUACUGGCAAGCUUGAGUCUCGUAGAGGGGGGUAGAAUUCCAGGUGUAGCGGUGAAAUGCGUAGAGAUCUGGAGGAAUACCGGUGGCGAAGGCGGCCCCCUGGACGAAGACUGACGCUCAGGUGCGAAAGCGUGGGGAGCAAACAGGAUUAGAUACCCUCGUAGUC